GACGAACGCUGGCGGCGUGCUUAACACAUGCAAGUCGAACGGAAAGGCCCUGCUUUUGUGGGGUGCUCGAGUGGCGAACGGGUGAGUAACACGUGAGUAACCUGCCCUUGACUUUGGGAUAACUUCAGGAAACUGGGGCUAAUACCGGAUAGGAGCUCCUGCUGCAUGGUGGGGGUUGGAAAGAUUCGGCGGUUGGGGAUGGACUCGCGGCUUAUCAGCUUGUUGGUGGGGUAGUGGAUUACCAAGGCUUUGACGGGUAGCCGGCCUGAGAGGGUGACCGGCCACAUUGGGACUGAGAUACGGCCCAGACUCCUACGGGAGGCAGCAGUGGGGAAUAUUGCACAAUGGGCGGAAGCCUGAUGCAGCAACGCCGCGUGCGUGAUGCCGGCCUUCGGGUUGUAAACCGCUUUCGCCUGUGACGAAGCGUGAGUGACGGUAAUGGGUAAAGAAGCACCGGCUAACUACGUG
This 468-nucleotide ribosomal RNA is filed under the name uncultured bacterium. RNAcentral's name for it is "partial 16S ribosomal RNA". It matches the Rfam family "Bacterial small subunit ribosomal RNA", at positions 28 to 507 of the family's 1533-position model. The record is from RNAcentral.